This 206-nucleotide ribosomal RNA is filed under the name uncultured bacterium. Its description in RNAcentral is "partial 16S ribosomal RNA". It matches the Rfam family "Bacterial small subunit ribosomal RNA", at positions 568 to 774 of the family's 1533-position model. The record is from RNAcentral.
CGCGCAGGCGGUCGAUCAAGUCGCGUGUGAAAGCCCCCGGCUCAACUGGGGAGGGUCACGCGAUACUGACCGACUCGAAGGCAGGAGAGGGUAGUGGAAUUCCCGGUGUAGUGGUGAAAUGCGUAGAUAUCGGGAGGAACACCAGUGGCGAAGGCGACUACCUGGCCUGUUCUUGACGCUGAGGCGCGAAAGCUAGGGAGCAAACG